RNAcentral lists this long non-coding RNA (310 nucleotides) under Olea europaea (common olive). Its description in RNAcentral is "long non-coding RNA (OEUR_LNC010741)". Lineage: Eukaryota; Viridiplantae; Streptophyta; Magnoliopsida; Lamiales; Oleaceae. The record is from RNAcentral.
AUAUAGUCAUUCACAAAAUAUGAAAAAGUAGAGAAUAGAACAGUGAGCAGAAUUUGUGCUAUAUUAUAAAUGGGGGGGCCCUUCAUACACAGUUCAUUUAGGCCGCCCCCAUUUGUCGUCUCCGCCUGCCUCCGACGUUGCGUUGCCUUUGACUCUCUCUCUCUCUCUUUCUUAACUUUUUCCCUCUCUCUCUCUACCUCUUAUAAUUUCUGUACUAACCUUGACACUUUCCCCUUUGAUCUUUCAUAUACACAUAUAAAUUAUCUUCUUGUUUUCUUCUCUUUUGUGGGUAUUGUGUUUUCUUGNNNNN